ACGGAAGGCAGCAGUGAGGAAUAUUGGUCAAUGGGCGGGAGCCUGAACCAGCCAAGUAGCGUGAGGGAUGACUGCCCUACGGGUUGUAAACCUCUUUUGUUUGGGAAUAAAGGAGCCUACGUGUAGGCUUUUGUAUGUACCUUUCGAAUAAGCAUCGGCUAAUUCCGUGCCAGCAGCCGCGGUAAUACGGAAGAUGCGAGCGUUAUCUGGAUUUAUUGGGUUUAAAGGGAGCGUAGGCGGCCUUUUAAGUCUGCGGUCAAAUGUCAGGGCCCAACCUUGGCAUGCCGUGGAUACUGAUGGGCUUGAAUACACGCAAGGCAAGUGGAAUUCGUCGUGUAGCGGUGAAAUGCUUAGAUAUGACGAAGAACUCCGAUUGCGAAGGCAGCUUGCUGGUGUGCGAUUGACGCUGAGGCUCGAAAGUGCGGGAAUCAAACAGGAUUAGAUACCCUGGUA
Molecule: ribosomal RNA, 453 nt
Filed under: uncultured Paraprevotella sp.
Lineage: Bacteria; Pseudomonadati; Bacteroidota; Bacteroidia; Bacteroidales; Prevotellaceae
Description: partial 16S ribosomal RNA
Rfam family: Bacterial small subunit ribosomal RNA
Source: RNAcentral